Long non-coding RNA from Syzygium oleosum, 771 nucleotides. RefSeq lists it as uncharacterized. Lineage: Eukaryota; Viridiplantae; Streptophyta; Magnoliopsida; Myrtales; Myrtaceae. The record is from RefSeq and is a predicted model, not a curated record. The transcript has 5 exons.
CUGUGAUCCCUGCAUACCCCAGCCACCGAUCCCUCUAUUUCCCCUUCGGUCCACGACCCAUCUACGUUAAAUUUCCAGCUUCCCUGUUCUGGGGACGUCCAUCGCGCUGCCUUGGAUUUCACCCGCCAACUCCCCGACACAGGCGUUCCUUGCCUUCCAGAUUUGCCAGAGAAUUCCCGCAAGCACCUCUCGGCCGGACUGUUCUGUGAUGUUGCAAAAUUGGACUAUGGUCGGACCCUAUUGCAGGCAGUGCAAAGGCUUCCGCAUUUGGGAAACACACUCUCCAGUUUAUAUUACAAAGGGCCCUAUCUAACCUUUCCUGCACCAGUGCUCUUCCUUCCCUGUUGUUGACCCAACCUGUAGUGCUCCGCUCCAUUACCCUCAGAUUUUUCCUAAUGGUACAAGAUCUCAUUAAAGUCCCCAACACAUAACCAAGGGAGGUGAUUAGCUGCGCUUAUCACUUGUAAAUGGCUCCACAGCCUGAGCCUUUCCUGGAAGCUUGUGGGGGCAUACAGAAAGGGAUGUCACCUUUUAGCAGCACAAGGUCGUCUACUGACCAGAGGUUUCCCAGUUCUCUACACAGGGCAGCCACCCGAGCUGCAUUAUCAUCUUCCUUGUCCAUAGAUUCUGGAGAAAGGUGUACUAUACUAUCCUGUUCUGAGAGAGGCUCUUUCCGUCAAACACCAAAACGAUCCCCAUUCCUUUGAGGAAUACUAAGCUACUCUUCUAGAGGUAGCGGCACGAACGUGCUUUGAGUUUCCCUGUAAUGCA